This 327-nucleotide small nuclear RNA is filed under the name Castor canadensis (American beaver). RNAcentral's name for it is "7SK RNA (ENSCCNG00000016842.1)". The stretch from base 1 to 283 matches the Rfam family "7SK RNA". Rfam says of the family: 7SK was discovered as an abundant small nuclear RNA in the mid-70s but a possible function has only recently been suggested. Two independent studies have found that 7SK RNA binds the CDK9/cyclin T complex (known as elongation factor P-TEFb). The record is from Rfam by way of RNAcentral. Lineage: Eukaryota; Metazoa; Chordata; Mammalia; Rodentia; Castoridae.
GGAUAUAAAGGCAAUCUGGCUGGGACAUCUGUCACCCCAAUGACCACCAGGGUCAAUACCACUGAUCUGGCUGGCUAGGCAGGUGUCCCCUUCCUUCCUCACCACUCCAUGUGUGUCCUUCCAAAAGCUGGGUUAAAGAGGACUACAGUCACGGAUAGAGUAAGCCCACUCUUCCAUAAAGGGUAUGUAAGUGGCUGUGCUCCCCUGCUAGAACUUCCAAACAAGCUCUCAAGAAAUCAAGAUUGUUUCCUGGCCCUUUUUUCCUUAAAUGUUUAUACACUUUACUGAUCCCCUGCUACUUUUCAUCUUUCCAGGGAAAAGAUCUAU